Molecule: unclassified non-coding RNA, 240 nt
Filed under: soil metagenome
Description: partial contains 5.8S ribosomal RNA, internal transcribed spacer 2, and large subunit ribosomal RNA
Source: RNAcentral
AACGCACGAGACCUGCGGACCUGCGGAAGGAUCAUUACAGAGUUGCAAAACUCCAAACCAUUGUGAACUUACCUUUGCCGUUGCUUCGGCGGGCGGCCCGGGUCCCGACCCGGCGCCCCCCGGCCCCGUCAGGGGCGCCCGCCGGAGGUAAACCAAACUCUUGAAUUGUAUGGCCUCUCUGAGUCUUCUGUACUGAAUAAGUCAAAACUUUUAACAACGGAUCUCUAGAUCGGAAGAGCA